GAUGAACGCUGGCGGCGUGCCUAAUACAUGCAAGUAGAACGCUGAAGCUUGGUGCUUGCACCGAGCGGAUGAGUUGCGAACGGGUGAGUAACGCGUAGGUAACCUGCCUCUUAGCGGGGGAUAACUAUUGGAAACGAUAGCUAAUACCGCAUAAAAGUCGACAUCGCAUGAUGUUGACUUGAAAGGUGCAAUUGCAUCACUAAGAGAUGGACCUGCGUUGUAUUAGCUAGUUGGUGAGGUAACGGCUCACCAAGGCGACGAUACAUAGCCGACCUGAGAGGGUGAUCGGCCACACUGGGACUGAGACACGGCCCAGACUCCUACGGGAGGCAGCAGUAGGGAAUCUUCGGCAAUGGGGGCAACCCUGACCGAGCAACGCCGCGUGAGUGAAGAAGGUUUUCGGAUCGUAAAGCUCUGUUGUAAGAGAAGAACGAGUGUGAGAGUGGAAAGUUCACACUGUGACGGAACUACCAGA
RNAcentral lists this ribosomal RNA (475 nucleotides) under Streptococcus parasanguinis. RNAcentral's name for it is "bacterial SSU rRNA". It matches the Rfam family "Bacterial small subunit ribosomal RNA", at positions 28 to 487 of the family's 1533-position model. Lineage: Bacteria; Bacillati; Bacillota; Bacilli; Lactobacillales; Streptococcaceae. The record is from RNAcentral.